This 22-nucleotide microRNA is filed under the name Oreochromis niloticus (Nile tilapia). RNAcentral's name for it is "oni-miR-10861". The record is from miRBase by way of RNAcentral. Lineage: Eukaryota; Metazoa; Chordata; Actinopteri; Cichliformes; Cichlidae.
AGUUGGUGGGCUGCUGUUUGGA